UUUCCCUCAGGAUAGCUGGCACUCGCUUGAGCGAGUCUCAUCUGGUAAAGCGAAUGAUUAGAGGCCUUGGGGCCGAAACGACCUCAACCUAUUCUCAAACUUUAAAUGGGUGAGAUGACUGGCUUGCUUGAACGUUGAAGCCAUGUCACAUUAAGCGAAGGAUCAGAGUGCCAAGUGGGCCAAUUUUGGUAAGCAGAACUGGCGCUGUGGGA
Molecule: ribosomal RNA, 212 nt
Filed under: Brachymeria sp. D1831
Lineage: Eukaryota; Metazoa; Arthropoda; Insecta; Hymenoptera; Chalcididae
Also listed under: 1 other name
Description: partial 28S ribosomal RNA
Rfam family: Eukaryotic large subunit ribosomal RNA
Source: RNAcentral